CAGGUUGGCCACCCAGUAAUCAGCACAAGUUAGAAUGUGGGCAACUCGGCAGUCAUUGCUCAGGCUCUUUGGUGACUCUAGAUAACCUCGGGCCGAUCGCACGUCCCCGUGACGACGGCGACGACGCAUUCAGAUGUCUGCCCUAUCAACUUUCGAUGGUACUUUCUGCGCCUACCAUGGUGACCAUAGAUAACUGGGAAUCAGGGUUUGAUUCCGGAGAGGGAGCCUGAGUAACGGCUACCACAUCCAAGGAAGGCAACAGGCGCGCAAUUUACCCACUCCCGACGCGGGGAGAUAGUGA
Non-coding RNA from Pelobates cultripes (western spadefoot toad), 301 nucleotides. The record is from the annotation of a GenBank genome assembly. Lineage: Eukaryota; Metazoa; Chordata; Amphibia; Anura; Pelobatidae.